CCCCUAGAUGUCCUGGGCCGCACGCGCAAUACAAUGUAAAGUUCAGAAAGCAUAUCCUGUUCCGGGAGGCAAUGGGUAAUCUUUUCAAUAUUUUACGUGUUAGGGAUCGAUCUUUGCAAUUAUAGAUCUUGAACGAGGAAUACCUAGUAAGUGCAGCUCAUCAGGCUGUACUGAUUACGUCCCUGCCCUUUGUACACACCGCCCGUCGCUCCUACCGAUUUCGAGUGGUCCGGUGAAUCUUUUGGAAUUAGAGUGCAAACUCAAACUAAGAUCGAUAAACCUUAUCACUUAGAGGAAGGAGAAGUCGUAACA
This 312-nucleotide ribosomal RNA is filed under the name uncultured eukaryote. RNAcentral describes it as "partial 18S ribosomal RNA". It matches the Rfam family "Eukaryotic small subunit ribosomal RNA", at positions 1470 to 1796 of the family's 1831-position model. The record is from RNAcentral.